UGGGGUGUAGCUCAGGGGUAGAGAGCACUUGCCUAGUGUGCAAGAGGGCCUGGGUUCCAUCUCCAGCACUGCAA
This 74-nucleotide transfer RNA is filed under the name Heterocephalus glaber (naked mole-rat). It matches the Rfam family "tRNA". From Rfam's summary of the family: Transfer RNA (tRNA) molecules are approximately 80 nucleotides in length. Their secondary structure includes four short double-helical elements and three loops (D, anti-codon, and T loops). The record is from Rfam by way of RNAcentral. Lineage: Eukaryota; Metazoa; Chordata; Mammalia; Rodentia; Bathyergidae.